Molecule: ribosomal RNA, 303 nt
Filed under: uncultured bacterium
Lineage: Bacteria
Description: partial 16S ribosomal RNA
Rfam family: Bacterial small subunit ribosomal RNA
Source: RNAcentral
AGCAGUCGCCACGGGAAUACAGAGGGUGCGAGCGUUAAUCGGAUUUACUGGGCGUAAAGCGUGCGUAGGCGGCUUUUUAAGUCGGAUGUGAAAUCCCUGAGCUUAACUUAGGAAUUGCAUUCGAUACUGGGAAGCUAGAGUAUGGGAGAGGAUGGUAGAAUUCCAGGUGUAGCGGUGAAAUGCGUAGAGAUCUGGAGGAAUACCGAUGGCGAAGGCAGCCAUCUGGCCUAAUACUGACGCUGAGGUACGAAAGCAUGGGGAGCAAACAGGAUUAGAUACCCGUGUAGUCCCUGUCUCUUAUAC